CUUCUCUCAAAGACCAUAUUAUGCAUGCCUAAGUUCAUGUCUUUAUAGGCAUGUCAUAUCAUGUUUAUUGGACCGUAAUCAUUAAACCGAUGACUAUAAUAACUCUAGAGCCACGAAGCUAUGGCCCCACUCCUUGGAGAAUAUGUGCGCUUAUUAGAAAAGAAGCCAUGCAUUCCUCCGAGAGUAGAUGGACUGCAGCAUUUCUGAUGACUCUAGGUAAUUGUUACAGAUCACACUCGGCUUUGCGUCGUCGACGGGUCCUUCAAAUGUCUGCCCUAUCAAUUUUCGAGAGUAGGUGACUUGUCUACUAUGGCGAUAGCGAGUAUCGGGGAAUAAGGGUUCAAUCCCGGAGUGGGAGUCUGAGAAACGGUUACGACUUCCAAGGGAGACAGUACCCGUUCCCAGUACGGGGAGGUGGUGACGAAAAACAUCGAUGCGGGACUCAUUAAAGAGACCUCGUAGUUGGAAUGAGUAAACUUUAAAUCCCUCUCCGAAGAUCAAUUGGAGGGUAGUAACUUCAACUUCAAUUUCCAAUAUUAGAGUUACUACAGUUAAAAAGCUCGUAGUUGGAUCUCGGUAGCAUUGUUGUCUGCUUGGCUGUCAUGCUCGGCGGCGUGCAUCAUAUCAUGUGUGCUUGUAUUACCCACGUCCAUAAAAGGAAAACGUAUGGGCCUCUCGGUGGGUGCACAUUAAACCGGAGUGCACUGAGUUGGCGUGGCGAUGGGGUCUCCUUUGAGCCAUGUCUGUGAUUUAACAGAGCCAAGUCGGCUCGUUUGCAUGCCAAUAAAUGCCUUUAAAAAUGUUUUCAUAGGCGGAUUGCAGGUUUUCUUUAAACAAAUUUGCGUGCUUGAAUCAGGUCAAUGUCCUCUGAAAAGUUCUACAUGGAAUAAUGGAAUAGUAUGUCUGUUCUAUUUCGCGUUAGUUUUCGAAUCCGAAGUAAUUAUGAAAAGAAACAGGCGGGCACGUUCAUUUGGCUGCACUAGAGGUGAAAUUAAUGAACCAUUGACAAAUAAACUAAAGCGGAAGCAUUCGUCAAGAAUGCUUUCAUUGGUCAUGAGCAAAGAUCAUAGGCUCGAA
Molecule: non-coding RNA, 1077 nt
Filed under: Hymenolepis diminuta
Lineage: Eukaryota; Metazoa; Platyhelminthes; Cestoda; Cyclophyllidea; Hymenolepididae
Description: Eukaryotic small subunit ribosomal RNA
Rfam family: Eukaryotic small subunit ribosomal RNA
Source: Rfam by way of RNAcentral